This is a long non-coding RNA of Bos taurus (domestic cattle), 2641 nucleotides long. Lineage: Eukaryota; Metazoa; Chordata; Mammalia; Artiodactyla; Bovidae. The record is from Ensembl.
AGUCUAUGGAAAUCCUACAGGAGGCUUCUAGUCUAUGGAAAUCCUAUAGGAGGCUUCUUGAAGAGUUUAAUAGAGGAGACUGCGCGCUGAAAGCGUCGCCCCGAGGACAACGUGACGCCCCGCCUUCCCGCCGCACUUGGGAGGUGCGCGCGCACCCGGGAAAGCGCGCCCAGGGGUGGGACCGCGGAUGUGCCCGGAGACAGCAUGGCGGCUCCGGCGUCGGGAACCCGGAGCGCAAGCCGGAGGCCCGCUACGGUGGCCCGCGGGGGCCCUUAUAGUGUUAGAACGCUGACUCCCCUUCGGCUCCUGGUGGAGCAAAGGGAAUUUCCACCCAGGGAUCAGAAGAACCCUGAGCGGUCGCGGGGCCGAACAGCCAGGACCACCAGAAGAGGACACCCCCAGCUGGCCAGAGUCGGAGGAAGAAAGAAGAGCAAGGCCAUUCAUUGAAUUUCUUCAUUCCCUCGUGAGCACCGACAAACUUCGGUUUGUUCUUGAUAGUGACUCUUUUCCGCGAUCUGUAAAGGGAAGUUCUGUUUCCGGAGAGAUAGGCUGGACUAAAUCAGUCCGUCCAACAGCUAGUUAUCAAGCGCUUACGGAGUGUAAGGCCCUGUGCUAAGUGCCCCCAGAACAAGUGCCCCUUGUCACUCGUCAUUGAGUGUUCUCCCUGGUUAGAGAAGAUGCUAUGUACUGUGGAGAUGGACAGGGCAUAUCCUAAGUCCACAGAUGCUGGCCCUGUAGGCAGGGAGGGUACAUCCUGUCUGGACGGUGACUCACUCUACAGUUGACGGGCAUGUUGCUGCCUCCUUCGGGGGUUAAAGGGCUUCCCUGGUGGCUCAGAUGGUAAAGUGUCUGCCUGCAACGCGGGAGACCUGGGUUUGAUCCCUGGGUGCGGAAGAUCCUCUGGAGAUGGAAAUGGCAACCCACUCCAGUUUUCUUGCCUAGAAAAUCCAUGGACGGCGGUCACAAAGAGUCGGACACGACUGAGCGACUUCACUCACCCCGGGGGUUAAAUGCAAUUCACCAGCCACAGGGUCGCCUCAAAGAUUAGUGUCCCAUCAAGUCCUCAAAUGAUGCUUUUGAACUGUGGUGUUGGAGAAGACUCUUGAGAGUCCCUUGGACUGCAAGAUCAAACAAGUCAAUCCCAAAGAAAACCAGUCCUGAAUAUUCAUUGGAAGGACUGAUGCUAAAGCUGAAGCUCCAAUACUUUGGCCACCUGAUGUGAAGAACUGACUCAUUUGAAAAGACCCUGAUGCUGGGAAAGAUUGAAGAUGGGAGGAGAAGGGGCCAACAGAGGAUGAGAUGGUUGGAUGGCAUCACUGACUUGAUGGACAUGAAUUUGAGUAAGCUCCAGGACUUGGUGAUGGACAGGGAAGCCUGGCAUGCUGCAGUCCAUGGGGUCGCAGAGUCAUACACAACCGAGUGACUGAACUGAAGUCUUCAAAGUUAGUUUCCAUUGUUGUCAGCUGGGUCCUCUGUAGUGGUAAUCAGCCAGCCAGUUCAGCCUUGAUGAAAGCCCAUGUAGUUGAACUCAUUCAUAGCCUCCAGCCUGUUACUGUAGCCACAGUGUAUGGUUUCUUUGAACAAGCACUGGGGGACUUGGAGGGUGGGGGAGGGAAAGCCAAUAUCCACAGUUUACAAAGACCUCCACUCCACCGAAUGCCUUCUAAGGGGUGUUUACAUGGGGCAAGAUAUCUUCAUAUUAUGUGCCCAUUCAGAAAAAUUCAUCCACAUAACUCCCCACCAGACCACCAUACCUAACCUCUAAUCUUGUUCCUUCUAAGCCCCUGAUUAACUGGUCAGCCCUUUAGCCAGUGUCCAUCAGUCCCUCGUGCUACCUCUACGCACCUACGUGGUAAGCCAGUCAUCCACUGAGAGUUCUAGCAUCUGAGACGAUUCCCCUUUGAAACUGUAUUCCCCUUUGAAACUUUUUUAAAACUGUAUCUUUUUUAUUUUUAGUUUAUCUAUUUAUUGGCUGCACUGCACAGCAUGUGGCAUGUCCCUGACCAGGGAUCAAAUUUGUGCCCCAUGCGUUGGAAGCACAGAGUCUUAACCAUUGGACGGCCAGGGACAUCCCACCACUGUCUUUUGAGAGCUGCACCCGAGCAAGGCUGUAAUACUGGCUUGUGCCAGCCGAUUAUGCAAGUGUCAGAGACUGGGUGUGGGGCAAUCCCGAGUGUGUGGGUGUGGCUUGGGAAGAGGCAAGAGUGCCAUCAAAGCAGGCGCUCUGGGACCUUCAGGCCCAGCCCUGUAGACGCGCUUUCUUUCCUCUUUCCAGUGGGAUACCUCUGUGUGCAUCCAAUUUUAUGGAUCAGAUGACACUCAAUGCAUGAAAGACAAUUCAGAUGACAGUCUGUGGCCUUCAGGGGAAGGUGCAGCCAGCCUGCCAUGAGGGAGCUGGAGCAGGAAGAACCCGACCUCACCCCAUCCCUGCCAGUGCUCCCUACUGGCUAUAUCCGCCCAAAAGACAGAGAGCCCAUUGAUGUGUCUACAUGAGCCAGCCUCUGGGGUCUCCGUGCAGGAUGAAGAGGAGAAAUUCACUGGUUGGGCUGUGAUGGCAGCCUCUAAGAUGGCCCCCACUUACCUCCACCCCCUGGAAUUCACCCCCUGUGUAGUCUUCUCCCAUAUUGUAGUAGGGCUGGUC